UGAUCAGACAGUGGGGUAUUUCCGAAGGUCUAUGGGUGGAGGGGAUGUGGAGCACAGUCGUAUCUGAAAGCUCAGAAUGCAAACUUUCGCAACUAGAACCAUCUGGAGUGAGAGGGGUGGUGAUACAGAGCUGGGACAGAUUUCUCUGGGUGUUUCCUCCCCUACAGCAUGUUUUUUAGAAGUGAAAUCAGGUUACGAAGAGCACUAAGGCAGCUUUGAAGGGGAAGUCCUGAGAGAACAGGCUGCAGCUUCGGGGUGUGAAUAACAUCACUAUUGUAAAACCUCAGAUUGGUGCUCAAGAUAGUUUUCAGACCCUGCACUUGAUGGAUCAGCUGGCACUACUCAGAUCAACACACUGGCUCACCUGGUCUUGUGGCCCCCACCCAGGAAAUGACUCAGCACAAGAGGACAGCUUUGACUCCCUGUGAUUUCAUCUCAGACCCAACCAGUCAGCUCUCCCUACUACUUGGCCCCCUACCCACCAAAUUAUCCUUAAAAAACCCCAGCCUCUAAAUUUUGGGGGUGACUGUUUUGAGUAAUAAUAAAACUCUGGUAUCCCAUUGAGCCAGCUCUGCAUGAAUUAGUUAACUGUUUCUCUCUUGCAGUUCCUCUGUCUUGAUAAAUCAGCCUGUCUGGGCAGUGGGCAAAAUGAACCCCCAACAGGAGGAUUUCAAAUGUAAAGAAGACACUUGGGCUGAGAUAUCCGGCUGAUCCGAACUCCAACAUGAAGCAUCCUUUCUGCUUUAGAUUGACCCCCAAAGAGUGAAGGACUAGGAAGCCAAAAGUGUCACACGGUCAAAAAUGCUUCCAUCUACUGGUGAAACUCAGGAAUACACUAACAUUUCCCUGCCUGAAAUGGUUAGUUGAGGACACAAAGCAACCCAAAGCGAGCGGAGCUUGGCCAUGGAGCUCAGAAAUUCAAAAUAGUCAGUUCUUGCUGAUGGUGAAG
This 949-nucleotide long non-coding RNA is filed under the name Homo sapiens (human). RNAcentral describes it as "HSALNT0218734". The record is from RNAcentral. Lineage: Eukaryota; Metazoa; Chordata; Mammalia; Primates; Hominidae.